CGGGGCGCAGCAGCAGUGGGGAAUAUUGCACAAUGGGCGCAAGCCUGAUGCAGCCAUGCCGCGUGUAUGAAGAAGGCCUUCGGGUUGUAAAGUACUUUCAGCGGGGAGGAAGGGAGUAAAGUUAAUACCUUUGCUCAUUGACGUUACCCGCAGAAGAAGCACCGGCUAACUCCGUGCCAGCAGCCGCGGUAAUACGGAGGGUGCAAGCGUUAAUCGGAAUUACUGGGCGUAAAGCGCACGCAGGCGGUUUGUUAAGUCAGAUGUGAAAUCCCCGGGCUCAACCUGGGAACUGCAUCUGAUACUGGCAAGCUUGAGUCUCGUAGAGGGGGGUAGAAUUCCAGGUGUAGCGGUGAAAUGCGUAGAGAUCUGGAGGAAUACCGGUGGCGAAGGCGGCCCCCUGGACAAAGACUGACGCUCAGGUGCGAAAGCGUGGGGAGCAAACAGGAUUAGAUACCCUAGUAGUC
Molecule: ribosomal RNA, 464 nt
Filed under: uncultured bacterium
Lineage: Bacteria
Description: partial 16S ribosomal RNA
Rfam family: Bacterial small subunit ribosomal RNA
Source: RNAcentral